Molecule: long non-coding RNA, 11453 nt
Filed under: Pelobates cultripes (western spadefoot toad)
Lineage: Eukaryota; Metazoa; Chordata; Amphibia; Anura; Pelobatidae
Source: RNAcentral
UAUAAUUUUGCGCUCUCAUACAAAGAUUUAAUGAUCACUACGGGCAAUAUAUUGUCUUCAUUUCAUUAAUAUUUAUGGUAUCUGGGGGGGUCUUUCAUGCAUUUUUACCUCAUGGGGGCAAUCCAUUUUAGAACAAUUUAACACCAGAGUGCUGUUCACUGCCCCUGCCAUCUCUCCUAAUACUUCAACAUGGAAACCUUUCCAUUUUGGCAAAGUGACAUGCUGAAGUGCUCAGACUAUCACUGCCCUUCCAUUGAGAGACAUUUAGAAAAGUUAAGCAAUAAUGGUACCCAGAAUGCACCUUUUAGUGGAUAAAUUCAAAAGAUUGUGUGGUCUGCUGCCAACAAGAUGGCUAAUAAUGUGUCUGACUUUGCUACACAUAUAUCCUAACUUAGUCAGAUAAAAAAAAAAAUGAACACUCUGGUACCCAAUUGGAUUCUUAAGUAUGUAUGUGUUAACCAUCUUAGUUGAGUGUUACAUGUGUAUGACACCUUCGUGUAGCAUCCCCCACAAAGGAUUUUUGCAAUUGGCCUCGUGUUGGAAAACUUUUUCACCUGAUGUCACCUAUGUUCUACUACCCAUCAAUAUGGGACGAAUAGGAAUGUUUUGAAUAGGCAGCUCAUAGCCCCGUGCGUUUUUUGUUUUUACAUCUACAAAUGUCAUCUGGUGAAAUACAUGUGGAUGUCAUGCUAGUUAAUACUUGGACUUGAAUAAACCUGUGUUACUAUCACCAUAGUUGAUUCUUUAUCCAAAAAGGUGAGGGAACUCUGUCCAUACAGCCUAAUUUAUAUUCUGCCUUAAUUUGCAAUUGAAGAUCUGAUGUGUUAAGAUAUUCUAGGCGUGUCAAUUUGUAAAGAGCUUUGGGCUCCUUUUCAGUGGUCCCUAUGAGCAUCAGGUUCUAUCUAGGUCAGUAUUUGUCCCGCAGAUAUUCAAACGUGGUCAAUUUUUAGGAGAGCUCAUUGCAGUUUGAUAUGUAAACAUUCAUGUUGCGCUAUUAGGCUAUUUCUCAGAGUAAUUCCUCUAUAAGGAAGACUGUUCAGUUUUUUAUUUUUAAUAUGCAUCCACAUUUUUUGUUAACCACAACAUAAACUAUUAGCGUUGUGUAUUCUUGAUGACCAGAGUUGUCAAGCUAUUGGUUUAGAAACAUCCUUGUGUCUUCAAUCAUCUUGUUUUUGUGGCCCACCAAAUAAUGCCAUCUGUCAUUUUAGGAAGUUCAGUCAUCCAUUUGAAAAAGGGGAUUACACUUUUAUCAUGUAUAUUUUCAGACUUUUAUUUGCACUACUUAUGACUGAUCUAGGCUUUUAUGUAUGACAUUGUCUAUAAAGAAUAUACUAAACUUUAGAAUUUGCUCCCGAACUUCAGGAUCACAGUUUGACAAAACUAUGUCAAUCAUGACAGCCCUGACCUAUCAAUGGACCUGAACAGGUUGAUCACCGUUGCUGUAAAGGCCAUAAUAUAUUUUUCUCAGAACAAAACAUGGGGAGUUAAUAUAAUAUAAUAAAUAGCUGUAAACAGAAAAAUAAGACAAAUGCUAAAAGUGAAGCAAGCACCAUAGAAACCAGUUGGAAUUGUCCUGUUUAUUGGUCAUUGCUUUCAUUGGUGAUUACUUCACUUUUACAGCUCUCAACAUUUGUUUUUAAAAAUACUCUCCCCUUAUAGUUUCUUAUCCAGCAGACAGAAAACUGGUGCAAGUCAAAUAUAAGCGGUUUGCAGAGAAUAUAAAUAGUGAGAAUAAUUAGUCUAAUUGUGCCCCUACCUUUUUGAAUUUGUUUAAGUGUUACCUUUUUCAGUCAACACAAAUUACCUCAGUUUGAUGUUGGUGUUAAAACUUGAAUGGCUAUUACCGACUCCAUGUUCUGGGGAGGUUAGAGUCAAGCAGGCCAGUUUGCAUUAUUAUAUUGUUUGUAUUUAGUGAUGUGCACUAUUUUUGUUUGCUUUUCUUGCAUAUUUUUCGUGUGCCUUCAUAAAAUGUAGCAUAGUCUGGUUUAUGGGGGUGGGAGGUCCUAUGGAAUAGGAGUGUUGUAUUUGUUUCAAUGGUGUAGAUAGGUCUGCCAUUUAUCCAUUCUCCUCCAUAGGCAAAGUAUUAUUUGUCUUCAGUGAGACACAUAAGCAUAUGUCAUCUCUGGACCAGUGGCCUUUGUCAGAUUAAUUGGCUGUAUGUUUAAGAGCCAAGCUGGUUAGGUAACAGAACUUCUUAGGAGGACACUCAUUUAUCCCAUCCCUCUGGUAAAUCAUAGUUUGAUUUACAUAUUCUCCAUCUUUGGAUUGCGUGUCUCUCUUGUAGAAGUGGUGUCAUUGUUUUUGCUAUUGAUUUUGCACAGGAUUUAGGGAAAUGAGAUUCAUGGUAUUUUAAAAUGUUAUGUGGCCUCUCAUCCCUGUCAUGUAACCUCAGAUACUGCCUUCAAGGCAUCUGCCAGUUGCUCUUUUCACAUCCAUUUUGAGAGGAUCCUUCGUGCCACUGUUGCUUUGGAAUAUAAUUCCAUUAAGGUUCCUCUUCCACUGUAUUACACACCUGAUGUGGAUGUGUGUGUUUAUUCUUUGCACAGAUGUGUUUUUAUUUGCAAUUUACAAACCCCCCUGUCUCCCCCCAUAUUCCCUUUCCAAGACAAUCAAAGUUCUGUAAAAAGGGCUUUUUUAUCAGACUUUCUUCUCUGUCCUGACUUUACACUUUUCUCAUGUUUUUUCACUGGUGGGGGUAUGUUGCAGCAGUCCUCUCCCUCUCUAUCUCUAGAAGAUGCAGCUUUGCCUAGUCUUGUUCUCCUUUAACAAUAAUAUGUGCAUUGGCAGCACAGCUUGACAAUUCUAAGUAAUAAUUUGUGAGUGUUUAUUUUUUUCGGGGUGCUGGGCAUGGGAUUAGCAAAGGUAGACACGUUAUUUUGCUGUCAAAUGUCUGGUUCCCUGAGUGCAUUGUUUACAGGGCUGUCCCGAAACUUCCAUUCCGAUUUCCUUCUUCCCACCCUACCUCCAGGCUGUGUGCCAUUUUCCAUGGGAAUGGUAACUGAGUUUGUAUUUUCUUUUAAACAUUUGGGGGUUUUAUUUUCCCCCACAACAAGUUUUAUGCCAAAGUACCCCUACUUUGUUUCAUCCAAUAGUUUUUUUUGUUUGUGUUUUUUUUUUUUUUUUUUUUUUAAACUCCCAACCCACCACAGCUUGUUCAUAGUGAAAUGGAUGCUCUUAACAUCCACAACAGGCCCUUACUUGGGGUACCCCUUUUGGGCCACUCUCAUAAAAUGGAAGUUUCUUUCAGCUCCUAAUGCAAAGCACCUGCUUCAUUAAUAAGCACUUUUUCAUAACUCUCGCUGCUGCUGGUGCCUGCAGAGCAUUGCUUUUGCAAUGCUGUCUUGAUCCAUGCAACAGUUAAGGGUUAAGGUAUAUAAGGGUUCGAUUUCCCUCGAUGACAUCCGGCAAAACAAUGGAGUGAAUGAAGGAGCAUUGUUGAUUUGAUCCUCCACUGUUGUGCUCUUCCCUCUUAGAGGUGAAAUGGUGAAAGCAAGCAUUUGUUUGAACACAAAUGUGAAGGGACAUUAAAAAGAGAAAAAAAGGAGAGAAAAAAAAACAGCACAAAUGCAUUUCACACAGGUUUACUUGCACUGCCACUGUAUAAAAGAAGGAGCUAUGUCCAUGUGGAUAGCUAACGUGAGCCAUAUUGCUGAAUGUAUCCUCUGACACCAUAUAAGAACAUAUUAAAUUAAAUUUAAAUAUGGUUGCCACUUCUUGUUUACACGAUUGGUUGCCAUUUAAUUGAAACUUCCAAAGCCAGCUAGCCGUUCAGAUUCAUUGCUUUGGAUCUUAUUAGAACCCGAAGAUGGAAUGGUCACUGUUUAUUUGUAGGGGAAACAAAAACUGACAAUUUAUCUGCUUUCAUAUGUCACACAACACUAUUUCAAAUGUUCUGCUAUGUAGAGGACAAGAGAUUGUGGUUUCAAAAAAAAUUAUAAAUUAUAUGUGUGUAUAUGUUACACCUUAAUUGUAACAUAGAUAUAGCUCUAUCUAAACAGAUUAAUCAAAUUAUUCUUUUCUUAGAGGCCAGCAAAUCAUGUAGGCCCCCGAGUGCUAUUGAUAUACUUUUGUUAUCCUUCGGGGCAAAAGACACAGCAGGAGGAUGUAUGUGUGGUUUUAUUAAUGUUUGGGAUGUGGAGUACUCUAUAAAUACUUUGCAACAGAACUAAACUGGACCAAAGCUUAAAUUAUUUAACUACAUAAAUUCAAAUUGGUAUUAACAUUUCGGUUAUUUUUUUUUUUUUUGAGACUUGCCCACAUACAUUGAAAACAUUGUUAGCAGUAUAGUUACUUGAAUGGCCUGGUGAAUAUAGCAGUUAAAUAAGCCUACUUCUGACACUAGAAACAUUAAAUUGAAGCAUUAGUAGCCUCAAAAGAAUUGAUGAAUUGGUGGGGUUUAUCUCUCAAUGUUUAUAGCAAUAGUUAUAGGUGGGUUUUUGCAAAAGUGGUAUACAAAUAUCAACCAAGUGUAAACUGUGAAACAAGCAAAACAUGAAAUUUAAACUAGGACAGUUCAAAGUGGUAUACAAAUAUCAUCAAAGUGCACCUGCUAUACACACACACACUAUAUGGAUUGAAGUAUUGGGACACAAUUAUUGAAUUUAAGCAUUUCAUUUGGACCCAUUGCCACCGGUAUAUAAAAUCAAGCACCUAGCCAUGCAGUCUGCAUUUGUGAAAGAAAAGUCAUUCUGAACAGCUCAGUGAAUUCAGGUGUGGUACUGUGAUAGAAUAAGCCAGUUUGCAAAAUUUAAUUCCUGCUAGAUAUUCCAUGGUCCACUGUAAGUGGUAUUGUUGGAAAGUGUUGAACAUUUGCUGCUGUUCCUAAACGCUUCCAGAGUGGAAGACCAUGCAAAGUCAGUGAGGCACAUGGUGCGUAAUAGUUACCAACGCCCUGAUUCCAUAGCUAAAUAAUUCCAAACUACCUCUUGCUUUAAUAUCCGCACAAAGACUGUGCAGCGGAAGCUUCAUGGAAUGGGUUUUCAUGGCCAAGCAGCUGUAUGCAAGCCUCACAACACCAAGUACAAGGCCAAGCAUCUGAUCGAGCAGUGUAAAGCACACUGCCACUGUACUCUUGAGCAGUGGAAACGUGGUUCUGUGGAGUUAAGAAUCACUCUUCUGUCUGGUAGUCUGAUGUAAAGGUCUGGAUUUGGUGGAUGCCAGGACAUUGUUACCUGCCUGACUGCAUUGUGCCAACUGUAUAGUUUGGAGGUGGGGGAAAAUGUAUGAGGCUGUUUUUCAAGGGUUGGGCUAGGUCCCUUCCAGUGAAGAAAAAUCUUAAUGCUUCAGCAUACCAAGACAUUUUGGACAAUACCAACUUUGGGGAAGGCCCUUUUCUAUUCCAGUGUGACUGUGCCCCCAGUGCACAAAACAAGGUCCAUAUAGACAUGGUUGGAGGAGUUUGGUGUGGAAGAACUUGGCUGACCCUCACAGAGCUCUGACUUAAAUACUUUUGAACACCUUUGGGAUGAACUGGAACGGAGAGGUCGAGCCAGGCCUGCUCGUCUGCCUGACCUCAAAUGCUCUACUGGAAGAAUGGUCAAAAAAAAUCCCUCAAACACUUGUGGAAAUCCUUCACGGAAAAGUGGAAGCUGUUAUAACUGCAGGGGGCGGGAGGACCAACUAUCUAUUAAGGUCUAUGUAUUGAGAAUUUGAGGUCAUAAAAGUCACUGUUGGUGUAAUGGUCAGGUGUCCCAAAACUUUUGUCCAUAUAGUGUGUGUAUGUAUACACAUCUACAUACACGCUACGCUUUAUUAACCUGUACUACUGGUUAAAUAAAAAUCUAGUUCCCAGAACAUUAAUGCUUUUUCAAAUGUAUGUUUAGUGUGAAAUGGUAAGUGAUGUAGUAUGUUUAUGAUUUUGUAGCCCUCCUGCCUUAAACGUUUAGCAGGUCAAGCUGUACCUUUUUUUUUAAAUAUUCAUUUUUAAUCAUGUGUGCCUGCAUAGUGCUACCUAAGUGGAGACAGGUGAAGGGAACUCAACUUAACCUGAAGUUCGCUUACUCGGGACCACCAUCUUUAUAGUUUUGAGACGUUUGGAAUCUUUUUCUAUUGGACAUCACAAGUGCAAAAAAAGCAAUGUUUCAUAAGCAGAAGCUCAUAUUAAAUUACCUGCUGUGUAUAUACAUUUUUAAAACAAGCAUACCCUUAGUCUUGUGCAAAUUUUGACAUUACAAGCCUAGUCCUAUCCUAUAUAGCCAGCCCUAGGGUAUUCAUUUUCACAUUUCUAUAAUACCCAACUAAAAUAAUUAUGACAAUUCUGCAGUAUAUGUAUACAUUUUUAAAAUCAUAUGCAUCUAUGGCUUCACAGCAAAUUGGCAUGCUGUGUGAAACAUUUUUCACUUGGUUUAUAUUUGAGUGGUUCGUCUUGUUCUAGAAGAGGAUGCCCAAUAAAAGACUGUAUAAAUCAAGUGUGUUUGCAGGGAAAGCUUCAUAUUGCCAGAUGUAUGCUAUAACACUUUGAACACUAAAUUGUGAUGUUUGGAGAACAGACUUGUAAAAUUUAGCUUGAAUUGUAAUCUCAAUUUCAGCAUACAAGGACAUCCCCUCCCCCACCUCUCAAAAAAUGGUCUCAUGUCCUCAGAGUAUUGUUUAGACCCCUUUGUGAUGAUGCAAAGUGGGCAUUGCCCAAUGCCCCUCCAGGAAGGAAUUAUGCAGUUAUGUAUCUGCAGAAAAACCAAAGCAAAACACUGAGCUGUUCUAUAUUAAAUGAAUGUGACCCAUUUAUGAAAAUUGCUUAUGUAAAAUAAAAAAAAUGCUGCUGGAGAUUUGGGUAACUAAUUUUUCUUUUAGAACAGUACAGCCCCCCAAAAAUCUCUAUUGUGUUCUUCCCUAUAAAUGGUGUGUUUGGCAAGUGCCAAUUUACAACCCCUUAGAUAAUUUUGAAAAAAGGAAAUUAAAAUCAAAAUGCCUCAAAGUGUUGCUCUCAUGCUACAGCGGGUGGAAGCACAAAAUUAUACUGAUGUUUGCUUUCCUUUCUUGAAUAAACAGUUCUACAGAUUCUUCAUCCAGCAGUUCUAGGGAAAAGAAUAUAAAGAGCACUUGCUCUUCACUUAUCUCCAGCAGUGAGGGGUUUUAUCUCUCAUCACUACCUCCACUCCCUUCCUGACUGCCACUUUGUUAUUUUUGCACAUAUUUCUCUGUUGGCAAGUACAGAGUUUUGGACUUGUCAAGCCUGGCAAUAAAAUAACACUGCAUUUCAAUCAUGUAAGCUUUUGUUUUGGGUCUCUUGUCUCUUACAAUGGAGGGUUACCUGAUGGAGCCCAGUUCUGAGCGUUUGAUCCAGCCUUUCUUACAAUGUGUCUUUCAUUACCCUGUCUGUAAAUGCUGCACUCCUCAUAAGAGUUGUGAACCAACCUUUAAAUCCUGUAAAGGGAAGGAUCUUAAAGUAACAGACCUCAUUCUCACCUGUUGAGGAAAUGCCAAACGAAUUGUACUAUCCACAUAAAAGAUAAUUUAUUUUUUCUUGGCAUUAUUUGAGUAAACCUGGCAGGUGAUUAACAUGCACAACAUUGUAAACAUAAAAUGGAGUUUAGUGCUUCCAACCCCUUUUGUAGUGUCACUAGUGGCUGUGUACUCUUGGCUCCCCCUUCCUUCACCUGUUGCUGUUUAGAUGCUUUUAUGACUUCUUAUAGCUUUGUUAGUCUAGUAGAAAUGGUACUUCAAUGUCUGCUGUGUGGUUUGUGCACCUGCUUUUUCUCCUUUGCCUCUUCCAAUACGCAAGGAAAUAAAGCCUUAUUUAUAACCAUUCUACUUCAGCUGUUGAUAGUGAACCAGUGUUUAUAAAGGAGUAUAUAUGGGGCAUUUAUGUAUUUCUGUAAUGCUGCUUUUAUGGUCAUAGCCAAUAUUUGUAUGUUAUCAAAAACAAAAACCCUGACACCUAAUCAAGAAAUAUAAUUUGGAGCAGUGGUUCUAAAAUCAAAUACCUGGCCAAGUUAAUGUGUUCAGUAGAAAACAAUUGUGCACUCCUUAAAUCUCUGCUCAGUGAUUGUAUUGCAAGUUUCUACUUUUCGAGGGUUUAUUUAUUUAGUCCAAUUUCCCUUAGUUGUGUCUUAAUUUUAAUUGAAUAUAUUUGCUUUUUAAUUAUUUUUUUUUCUUUGUUUUGUAAACAUUUACUUAAUUCUAGCCCUGUAAUGUUUAAACCCAGACACCUGAAUUGUGCCAUAUAACAACUCAGGGAUAUUUCAUGGCAGAUCGUAUAAGUUGCAGAGUCCUAAAAAAGAUUUUCUAAUUAGAUACGUGAUAAUUUAAAAGUUUACCCGAUUGUAAAGUAAGAGCAGUUUUCCUAAUGGGGAAAAAUAACCAUGAAAUGAAAGGGCUUUGGUUGUAUCAAUUUAGUUUUCAUUCUGGCCAACCUCUUUUAAUUAAUUUUUUUUUUUUUUUUUAAUAAACUACUAUAGGAAUAGUUGUACACAGCCCUCCUCUUAAAAGGGGUAACUUUUCUCUUAUCCAUUAAUAAAUUUUAUAGGUAAUGUCUAAAAAUGUAAACCUAUUCAAAUAUACUCUUGUAUGAAAUUUCUGCAAAAUUAUAUCCUUGGCAUCUUCUGUGAUGAGCACUCAUCAACCAUCUUCUCAAGACACACCUAACAGUCCAGGGUUUAAGGAUUACCUGGAUUUCUGUGGUGGUUAGAAAAAAAACCUUAGACACACCCGGGUAAUCCUUAAAUCCCUGGACUGUUGCGUAUGCCUUGAAGAGCGCUUCUUAAACAGCCAAUCAUGUCCACUUAUCUAUAGUACUGCUGCUCAUAACCUUUUAAGCCAUGUUUAUUGGGUAGGCACAAGAAGGGCUCUCUGACUUAGUUCAUUUGGGAUUUCUACUAUAGAAAGGCAAGACAAAAUAUAACUCCAAGAAGCUGGAGUUAUGACCUCAUGUACAGCUGUAUUAUUGAAGCAAAAAAGAGAAACCCUGCGGUGUAUAAAGGAAGCAAGCAGAAGAGCUUUUAAAAAAAAAAAUAAAAAAAAAAAUUGGGGUUUUUUAAGCUAUAUAUGCUCCAAGACCGCAGUUUAUCAUAUUGCCCUUGCAGCAUGCAGGUCAUAAAAAGACAGUAAAAGUAUUUCACCAUCUGUUUCAGAAUAACAAAAGCAAUAGAUUGCAAAACGUAAUGCAGGUUCCUGUUACAUUUAAUGUCUGUCUGCCAUAUACUGUUAAAACCUCACCUGCCUCCAAGGUACGUGGCCCAAUAUAAACUGCUUUGCAUUUUAACCUGGCAAUAGCAUGGUACCAUUUAUAAUGUAUUAUUCAUAGACAGUUUGGUACUUCUAUAGAAAACGCCUGCUCUACUACUUAAUCCUCUAAAUUGUCCCCCACCCAUCAUACACGCAGCAAUUAAAUGUAGUAUCUGAAAUAAGAGAACUUGAAACCAAUUCAUAGGGAAGAGAAAUGGGCAGCUACAGGUUAUAUAACGCGUAAGUGUAAACUCCUUAGGUUUUUUUUUUUUUUGGUCAGUUGGUUAUAGGGGAGGGGAAGCACCAGUUAAUUGCUUAAACACUGUUUUAAAGUCGGAUAAAUGGGCAUUUAAAUAAAUAUUCACUUGAGUUACGCACGCAUAGUAGCCUCAUCCAAGGGGUCAAUUGUGUAGGAACACAUUGGAUAAUGCCAUUUCUUUACACAACAUCUAGACCUCUUGACCCUUUACAUUUGUAUGUCCGUGAAAGUUGUCAUGCUAUUAGUGGUUGUGAACAUGAACAGUGCCGGUGUUGGUGUUCUCAGUUUGUAAGUAAGGGGAGUGCAGUUUUCCAAGAUAAGUCAUAUUUCACUUUUAUGGCAGAACAAAAAACUGCUGCUGAAUACAGCAAUUGUUAAAGCUUUGUUUUUAUGUUCUUGGUCUUGCAAAUAGGAGUCAAAUUAGUGAGAUGUUGCCCAAUUUCCUUAACCUGUAGAAUCUCCGCAAUGUUUAGCCUUUAAUUGCAUGUCUAGCUCUAUCCUCCCAGCUUACACCGGUUAACAUACUGUGAAACUGCUUCUCUGUUCUUUGGAAGAUUUUAAUCCUAAUAAUUUCUAGAUCUACUCUUCUCCAGAACUGGAAAUCUACUUCACAGUACAAUGUGUAGGUACGUAGAAAUGGAAUCUGACAUAGUACUGUCAAAAAAUUAAAUAAUUUUUCAUGCAUAUAAAAGGAUGGAUGUACCAAGUUUCAGCACUUAUAGAGCUGAUUGAAAUAACUGUUAAAAAGAUUUUCAACUAAUUUUUGAAAAUCCUUGGCAAGGUAUGUCAGUGUAUUAUUCUUCUCAGACAGGUUUUUUUUUUUUUGAGAAUUCUUUCCUUUUUGAUCUAUAGUGUAAGUGUUAAGAUGACUGUUUUGUGUUGUAUUUCUCUGUCUGCAGAAUCAAAGAUUAUAACCAUUGAGUGCCACUCAAAGGAUUUAGAUGAUAAUGGUUUAGGGACUAAAAUGCACUAGCCUGAAGUACCCCUCAUUGUGAGUCUCUCAAAUGCGUUUUCUACUAUAAAAAUGUUUGGUGUGUGAUGGACCCCUUUCGCAUUAUUUAUUCCACCUUGCCACAGGACAAAUUAUAUAUUUUUGUUUUAAUGUACAGUAGUAGUUGUAGUAAUCUUAAAAGCUGUCAAUGUUGACUUGAGAACAUCCCGCCUUUCCCAGAACACAUACAUUGACACAUAUUGCCAGACAACACCUUUUUGCCUUUUAACCCACAAACAGGAAUAACUUGGACCUGGGGAUGCAAAUUUUUUAUUUUUUAUUUUGGGGACACAGUCUUAUGAAGUGAUUAUUAACACCUUUCUGCCAGACUGAAUACUGUUUCUAUUGGCGUGGAAGGGUUUUAAUCAUGUACUGAGUCUGUUUUUUGUUUUUUUUCUUCAUUGGUCCCCAUUAUUCCAGUUAGUUGGUGGUUACAAUUAUAGAUCUCAAGGACCACUACUAGUUUUCAGUCUACCAAAUGUUUGUUUUUGAGCACUUAACAGAAAUUGUAAAGUAAGUACUAGCAAUGAUUCAUUCUUCAAGGUCCAUUAAAUCAGUUGUUUAUAACUGGAUAAUGGCUUUGCUUUUUGUUUAAUUUAUUUUUUUUGCCACAUGCUGAUUGGGUUACCAGAUGUACCAGAAAGAGGCUGUCAAUGUAAACUGGUUAAAACCAUGUGGCCUCCCUUGCUGUGGUUGUGCCUUUCCAAAAGCAAAUGUCUUCUUUAAAAAAGUGUUUUUCGAGGGGAGUGGGUGGGAGAUGUGCAAGAUGGGAGGAACAUAGGUGAAUGUGUGAACAAAUCUCCAUCUAUUUGUUGACAGAGUAGUAAAUUGGGAUUUACAAUACAGGAAAAUACAUUCAAAACAUGAUCACUUUUCUACAAAGUUCCCUGCAACCCAAGUCCUGCUGCUCAUAUUGUGGCUUUGAAUCAAUUCUGUUUAUUAAAAAGCUUUAGCUUCUAAUAUGUGUCGCUUGUUUUUUUUUUUUUUUUGUUUCUUAAUAUGUGGAUGCCUUGUUGAGUGCAUGGUUGGUAUUACAAUUUU